UACGUGGGUGGCAAGCGUUGUCCGGAUUUAUUGGGUUUAGAGGGUGCGUAGGCGGCCUUAUAAGUCAGUGCUGAAAUAUCCCGGCUUAACCGGGGGGGUGGCAUUGAUACUGUAGGGCUUGAGUAAAGUUGAGGUUGGCGGAAUUGACGGUGUAGCGGUGAAAUGCUUAGAUAUCGUCAAGAACACCUAUUGCGAAGGCAGCUAACUAAGCUUUAACUGACGCUGAGGCACGAAAGUGUGGGGAUCAAACAGG
RNAcentral lists this ribosomal RNA (253 nucleotides) under uncultured bacterium. Its description in RNAcentral is "partial 16S ribosomal RNA". It matches the Rfam family "Bacterial small subunit ribosomal RNA", at positions 524 to 776 of the family's 1533-position model. The record is from RNAcentral.